UACCAGCUUCUCGAGUGGUGGGGGCGAUUAUUGGGCCUAAAGCGUCCGUAGCCCGCUUGUUAAGUCCUUCGUCAAAUCCGACGAUUUAAUCGUUGGUUCGCGGAGGAUACUGGCAAGCUAGGGGGCGGAAGAGGCUGGCGGUAUUCUUAGGGUAGGGGUGAAAUCCUAUAAUCCUAGGAGGACCACCAGUGGCGAAGGCGGCCAGCUAGAACGCGCCCGACGGUGAGGGACGAAAGCUGGGGGAG
Molecule: ribosomal RNA, 245 nt
Filed under: uncultured archaeon
Lineage: Archaea
Description: partial 16S ribosomal RNA
Rfam family: Archaeal small subunit ribosomal RNA
Source: RNAcentral